CCUACGGGCGACAGCAGUGAGGAAUAUUGGUCAAUGGACGAGAGUCUGAACCAGCCAAGUAGCGUGAAGGAUGACUGCCCUAUGGGUUGUAAACUUCUUUUAUAUGGGAAUAAAAUGUUCCACGUGUGGGAUUUUGUAUGUACCAUAUGAAUAAGGAUCGGCUAACUCCGUGCCAGCAGCCGCGGUAAUACGGAGGAUCCGAGCGUUAUCCGGAUUUAUUGGGUUUAAAGGGAGCGUAGGUGGAUUGUUAAGUCAGUUGUGAAAGUUUGCGGCUCAACCGUAAAAUUGCAGUUGAAACUGGCAGUCUUGAGUACAGUAGAGGUGGGCGGAAUGCGUGGUGUAGCGGUGAAAUGCUUAGAUAUCACGAAGAACUCCGAUUGCGAAGGCAGUUCACUGGACUGCAACUGACACUGAGGCUCGAAAGUGUGGGUAUCAAACAGGAUUAGAUACCCCAGUAGUC
RNAcentral lists this ribosomal RNA (460 nucleotides) under uncultured bacterium. RNAcentral's name for it is "partial 16S ribosomal RNA". It matches the Rfam family "Bacterial small subunit ribosomal RNA", at positions 338 to 795 of the family's 1533-position model. The record is from RNAcentral.